GCGCACGGGUGAGUUACGCGUGGGUAAUCUACCUCCGAAUUGGGGAUAACAUUGCGAAAGCGAUGCUAAUACCGGAUGAGGUUUCACUCGCUCAGGCGGGUGGGAUGAAAGGUGGCCUCUACAAGAAAGCCACUGUAUGGAGAUGAGCCCGCGUACCAUUAGCUAGUCGGUAGGGUAACGGCCUACCGAGGCGACGAUGGUUAGCUGGUCUGAGAGGAUGAUCAGCCACACUGGAACUGACACACGGUCCAGACUCCUACGGGAGGCAGCAGUGAGGAAUUUUGCGCAAUGGGGGAAACCCUGACGCAGCAACGCCGCGUGAGUGAUGAAGGCCUUCGGGUCGUAAAACUCUGUCAGGUGGGAAGAAACUGUCAUGGAUGAAAAAGCCAUGGCACUGACGGUACCACCGAAGGAAGCACCGGCUAACUCCGUGCCAGCAGCCGCGGUAAUACGGAGGGUGCAAGCGUUAUUCGGAAUUAUUGGGCGUAAAGGGCGCGUAGGCGGCCUUGUAAGUCAGAUGUGAAAGCCCGGGGCUCAACCCCGGAAGUGCAUUUGAUACUGCAGGGCUUUGAGUAUGGGAGAGGGAAGUGGAAUUCCUGGUGUAGCGGUGAAAUGCGUAGAUAUCAGGAGGAACACCGGUGGCGAAGGCGACUUCCUGGACCGAUACUGACGCUGAGGCGCGAAGGCGUGGGGAGCAAACAGGAUUAGAUACCCUGGUAGUCCACGCAGUAAACGGUGAUCACUAGGUGUAGCGGGUAUCGACCCCUGCUGUGCCUGAAGUCGACGCAUUAAGUGAUCCGCCUGGGAGGUACGGUCGCAAGAUUA
This 825-nucleotide ribosomal RNA is filed under the name uncultured bacterium. RNAcentral describes it as "bacterial SSU rRNA". It matches the Rfam family "Bacterial small subunit ribosomal RNA", at positions 98 to 896 of the family's 1533-position model. The record is from RNAcentral.